UAAUUGCCUGCACCUGUUCCUAAUGCGUCACACCUGUGUCUAAUUAGCUCUCCUGUCUACAUAGUCUCUGUGCCUCCCUUGGUUCUUCGGUUCAGUUUGGUCUCAGCUCUGCACUGUGUUCCUUGUUUCCCUGGUUUUUCAUAUCCAUGUUCCUGAGUUUUAGUUUUUUUUUUGGAUUACCUGAGUUGUUACGAGUUCUUCUGUGUGUGUUUGGUCGAUGCCCGAGGAGGGGGACUCCGUAAUCCUCUGCACCGUGGAGGUCAAGUCCAUGUCACCGCAGACAGUUGAGGAGUGGGACAACAAUCCUGUGCAGUCAUCAAGUCAUGGCAGCAACACUUUCUUAAUUCAAGUGUUCAGCAAAACUGAUGACGUCUCCUCCUGGCACAAAUCAUGAAGGUGACAUCAUCCCACUACUCCAGUUGCAUACCAAACCCCAAGAGAGCUUUAAAUGCAACAAUCCGACCAAGGUACUGGAUUUAGAAAAGGAACAUCUGGAUUAUCUUUUGAUUUUUUCUUUUUUAGUUUAAAAAAUUCAUCAAGUGCACCUGUAACAUACAGACAGUGGAGCAGAUGUGAUCCUUUAGCGUCGCUAUGCAUUGCUACAAAGGAGCUGCUAGUUUUAAAGUACAAAACAGGUACAGUGAUACCGUUGUAGUGGUUCACCUGUGGUUUGACUGAAUAACAGUGAGCUUGACGUUAAUAAGGUUCAAAGCAACGCCUCGUUCACCUAACCAACAGAGCUGUUGAUCCAAGCUGUCCAAAUGAAAUGUUUGCUUCCGGAGCAUCUGGAACAGAUUGAGGGGAAAAGCCUGGGUUUGAUUUUAACAUUCGAAGGAAAGGUUGGGCAUUUAUCAGCUGUUUCUAAAAAAGCCUGUGUCUCUCCAGUGCAGUAGGAAAUCAUCGCUUCUGUUGCUUCAGAGGGGCUGUCGUGUGUAGGGCUGCAUUUUUGUUCUCAUGUCAUGUGUGUGAUGUCAGUUCCAUCAUAUUAUUUAUUUUUUUCCCCCCAUGUUUUAACUUCUUUAUUCACCCGACAAACUGUUUUUGAGACGUGUGUAUUUACCAGCUGAAUGAUGAGCACUAAGUUAAAGCUUUGCUGAUUCAAGAAGUCAAACAGAGAUAACUCUUCCCAGCACAAGCACCUCAAUCAUAGAAGGAAACUUUUAAUAAAAUGCUAAAGGGAAAAAAUAUAGAACAGGACUAAGAAGUCUACUGCCAUGCUUGCAGCUUUGUGAAGAUGUGACACAGUGUUGCUUUGAGUUAAAUGGCAUGGUUACUUGACUAGCACUACAUACUAAGAUUGAUGGGGAUGGUUAGUUUUGCUAGCCAAGAAUUCAAGUGAUCUCCAAAGACAACAGGAUUGGUAAUCCACCCUGUAGUCGUUAGGGAUAUUUCAGCCUGGGCCAAAGUGUUGGGACCCACCAACCAACCAACAGAGUGACAUUGCCAUCCAUAGAGCCAGGGCACUGAUGUGGCUAAACAUGCAGAUAAUAGACUUACAAGAAUGAUUACUCAUUCCUGGAGAAGUGGGGGAAAAGAGUAUUCAUCUUUCAGACUUCUGGAAAGAUGUGCACUUUUUUUUCUAUUUCAUUAAUUUUGCAAUUACAUCAUUGUGAUUGCGUGGACAAAGAUGUUUACAACAGGCCCUGGCUGUCCUUGUUUUGAUUAUAUCCAGGACAAACUGUUUGUGGUGUCGUGACAUCUUGUUAACAACUACUCUGACGUUGUCAGUGUGGAAAAAAUAAAUAAAUUGUAGAAUAUGAAAACAGCAGUUUGACAGAAAACAAUGAUUUAGUGCAUAAAGUGGACAUCUGCUUCCCUGCCCUAGUUCUAUAUCAGUGUUUUAUGAAUAAUUGUAUAUACCCAAAAUAUUCACAUUGGUGUU
Long non-coding RNA from Scophthalmus maximus (turbot), 1882 nucleotides. RefSeq lists it as uncharacterized. The record is from RefSeq and is a predicted model, not a curated record. Lineage: Eukaryota; Metazoa; Chordata; Actinopteri; Pleuronectiformes; Scophthalmidae. The transcript is spliced from 3 exons.